CCUACGGGUGGCAGCGGUGGGGAAUAUUGGACAAUGGGGGCAACCCUGAUCCAGCCAUGCCGCGUGUGUGAAGAAGGCCCUCGGGUUGUAAAGCACUUUCAGUGAGGAAGAACGCCUGGUGGUUAAUACCCAUCAGGAAAGACAUCACUCACAGAAGAAGCACCGGCUAACUCCGUGCCAGCAGCCGCGGUAAUACGGAGGGUGCGAGCGUUAAUCGGAAUUACUGGGCGUAAAGCGCGCGUAGGUGGCUUGAUAAGCCGGUUGUGAAAGCCCCGGGCUCAACCUGGGAACGGCAUCCGGAACUGUCAAGCUAGAGUGCAGGAGAGGAAGGUAGAAUUCCCGGUGUAGCGGUGAAAUGCGUAGAGAUCGGGAGGAAUACCAGUGGCGAAGGCGGCCUUCUGGACUGACACUGACACUGAGGUGCGAAAGCGUGGGUAGCAAACAGGAUUAGAUACCCCGGUAGUC
This 465-nucleotide ribosomal RNA is filed under the name Vreelandella stevensii. RNAcentral describes it as "partial 16S ribosomal RNA". It matches the Rfam family "Bacterial small subunit ribosomal RNA", at positions 338 to 795 of the family's 1533-position model. The record is from RNAcentral. Lineage: Bacteria; Pseudomonadati; Pseudomonadota; Gammaproteobacteria; Oceanospirillales; Halomonadaceae.